GGCUCCUACGGGACGCAGCAGUGAGGAAUAUUGGUCAAUGGACGAAAGUCUGAACCAGCCAUGCCGCGUGCAGGAAGACGGCUCUAUGAGUUGUAAACUGCUUUUGUACAAGGGUAAACCUGAAUACGUGUAUUCAGCUGAAAGUACUGUACGAAUAAGGAUCGGCUAACUCCGUGCCAGCAGCCGCGGUAAUACGGAGGAUCCAAGCGUUAUCCGGAUUUAUUGGGUUUAAAGGGUGCGUAGGCGGAUUGAUAAGUUAGAGGUGAAAUGUCCGGGCUCAACUCGGGAACUGCCUCUAAUGCUGU
RNAcentral lists this ribosomal RNA (305 nucleotides) under uncultured bacterium. RNAcentral's name for it is "bacterial SSU rRNA". It matches the Rfam family "Bacterial small subunit ribosomal RNA", at positions 334 to 636 of the family's 1533-position model. The record is from RNAcentral.